RNAcentral lists this ribosomal RNA (497 nucleotides) under uncultured bacterium. Its description in RNAcentral is "partial 16S ribosomal RNA". It matches the Rfam family "Bacterial small subunit ribosomal RNA", at positions 28 to 507 of the family's 1533-position model. The record is from RNAcentral.
GAUGAACGCUGGCGGCGUGCCUAAUACAUGCAAGUCGAGCGAACAGACGAGGAGCUUGCUCCUCUGACGUUAGCGGCGGACGGGUGAGUAACACGUGGAUAACCUACCUAUAAGACUGGGAUAACUUCGGGAAACCGGAGCUAAUACCGGAUAAUAUAUUGAACCGCAUGGUUCAAUAGUGAAAGACGGUUUUGCUGUCACUUAUAGAUGGAUCCGCGCCGCAUUAGCUAGUUGGUAAGGUAACGGCUUACCAAGGCAACGAUGCGUAGCCGACCUGAGAGGGUGCUCGGCCCCACUGGCACGGAGACACGCUCCAGACUCCUACGGGAGGCAGCAGUAGGGAAUCUUCCGCAAUGGGCGAAAGCUUGACGGAGCAACGCCGAGUGAGUGAUGAAGGUCUUCGGAUCGUAACACUCUGUUAUUAGGGAAGAACAAAUGUGUAAGUACCUAUGCACGUCUUGACGGUACCUAAUCAGAAAGCCACGGCUACCUACGUG